Long non-coding RNA from Daphnia pulicaria, 274 nucleotides. RefSeq lists it as uncharacterized. The record is from RefSeq and is a predicted model, not a curated record. The transcript is spliced from 2 exons. Lineage: Eukaryota; Metazoa; Arthropoda; Branchiopoda; Diplostraca; Daphniidae.
UCGGUGGAUUGACAUAAAAAGUCUGUUUGAUUUUGUUGAGUUUCUUUUAGCUACAAUUUUUUUGCUCGUCUGUUUGUUAUCUUUUUUUCUUUUUCCAUGUGAUGUUGCCCAGCGGUGUCGCAUGCAAAUCAGCAGCACAGCUUCGUCGAACCAGGUGGACGCCCAUUUUCGAGCCGUUUGCCGCGCCCUCGUCGCCGAGACGCUCGAGUUUUCAGACUUUCUCGUCAAAGUCUCAUCAGCACCCGAGGAUUGGCGGGAACUGAGAAACAACAAA